RNAcentral lists this ribosomal RNA (2873 nucleotides) under human gut metagenome. RNAcentral's name for it is "bacterial LSU rRNA". It matches the Rfam family "Bacterial large subunit ribosomal RNA". The record is from RNAcentral.
UUAAGCUACUAAGAGCACAGGGUGAAUGCCUUGGCACCAAGAGCCGAUGAAGGACGUGAUAAGCUGCGAAAAGCUGUGAGGAGGAGCAAAUAUCCAUUAUAUUCACAGAUAUCCGAAUGAGGAAACUCUAGUUAGGAAAAAAGCUAACUAAUCCAUACAUGAGUAAAGUAGUGUAUGUGAGGGGAACGUAGGGAACUGAAACAUCUAAGUACCUACAGGAAAAGAAAGAAAACUCGAUUCCUUGAGUAGUGGCGAGCGAAAGAGGAAGAGCCUAAACCAAGAGAAGUAAUUUUCUUGGGGUUAUGGACUACAUAAAUGAUUCAAUAGAUUUAGCAGAACUGUUUGGAAAAGCAGACCAAAGAUAGUGAAAGUCUAGUAAGCGAAAAAUCGAAAGACAUGGUAGUAUCCGGAGUAGUGCGAGACACGGGAAAUCUCGUAUGAAAAAGUGGGGACCACCCCAUAAGGCUAAAUACUACUUGGUGACCGAUAGUGGAACAGUACCGUGAGGGAAAGGUGAAAAGAACCCCGGGAGGGGAGUGAAAGAGAACCUGAAACCCUGUGUUUACAAGCAGACAAAGCACGUUAAGGUGCGAUGUCGUACUUUUUGUAGAACGGUCCGGCGAGUUAUUUUAUAUGGCAAGGUUAAGUACUAUUAAGGUACGAAGCCGAAGCGAGAGCGAGUCUGAAAAGGGCGAGUAAGUCAUAUGAAAUAGACCCGAAACCGAGUGACCUAUCCAUGGUCAGGAUGAAGCUUGAGUAAAAUCAAGUGGAGGUCCGAACCCAUAAGCGUUAAAAAGCUUCGGGAUGAACUGUGGAUAGCGGAGAAAUUCCAAUCGAACUCGGAGAUAGCUGGUUCUCCUCGAAAUAGUUUUAGGACUAGCCUUGUUUAGUAGUAUGUGGGGGUAGAGCACUGAAUGAGCUAGGGGCCAAACCAGGUUACUGAACUCUAUCAAACUCCGAAUACCAUGUACGUAAGAACAGGAGUCAGACUGCGGGAGCUAAGUUCCGUGGUCAAAAGGGAAAGAGCCCAGAUCGUCAAUUAAGGUCCCAAAGAUAUAGUUAAGUGGAAAACGAUGUGAUUUUGCGUAAACAACCAGGAUGUUGGCUUAGAAGCAGCCAUUCAUUUAAAGAGUGCGUAAUAGCUCACUGGUCGAGUGGAGUUGCGCGGAAAAUUACCGGGGCUAAACUAUACACCGAAAUUGCGGAUUCAUGAGUAAUCAUGAGUGGUAGAGGAGCAUUCUAUAGUAGGACGAAGGUAGAUCGAAAGGACUGCUGGACGAGAUAGAAGAGAGAAUGCCGGAAUAAGUAGCGAAAGCAUGGUGAGAAUCCAUGCCAUCGAAAGUCUAAGGUUUCCUGGGGAAGGUUCGUCCGCCCAGGGUAAGUCGGGACCUAAGGAGAGGCCGAAAGGCGUAUCUGAUGGACAGCAGGUAGAAAUUCCUGCACCACCGAUAUACUUAAAAAAUGCAAGGGACACAGUAGUGGAAGGAAAGCGAGGAAGAGGAAAGACUCGUAUCGAAAGAUAUAGUGAAAAAAUAAGUAACGAAUUUCCAAGAAGCACACUGGCGAGAAAAGCUUGUAGGAAUUGUAUAAAGGUGCCCGUACCGCAAACCGACACAGGUAGAUGAGGAGAGGAUCCUAAGAUGAGCGAGAGAAGCAUUGUUAAGGAACUCGGCAAAUUGACCCCGUAACUUAGGGAGAAGGGGUGCCAAAGUAAAAUUUGGUCGCAGAGAAGAGGCCCAAGCAACUGUUUAACAAAAACACAGGUUUCUGCUAAAUCGAAAGAUGAAGUAUAGGAGCUGACGCCUGCCCAGUGCUGGAAGGUUAAGGGGAAGAGUUAGAUGUAAGUCGAAGCUUAGAACCAAAGCCCCAGUGAACGGCGGCCGUAACUAUAACGGUCCUAAGGUAGCGAAAUUCCUUGUCAGGUAAGUUCUGACCCGCACGAAAGGCGUAAUGAUUUGGGCGCUGUCUCGACAAUGUACUCGGCGAAAUUGUAGUACUAGUGAAGAUGCUAGUUACCUGCGACAAGACAGAAAGACCCCAUGGAGCUUUACUGUAGCUUGAUACUGGGUUUCGAUAAUUUAUGUACAGGAUAGGUGGGAGGCGAAGAAGCAAUUGCGCCAGCAGUUGUGGAGUCAUCCUUGGGAUACCACCCUUAAGUUAUUGAAAUUCUAACCUGUAGUCCUGAGCGGGCUAGGGGACAAUGUCAGGCGGGCAGUUUGACUGGGGCGGUCGCCUCCAAAAGAGUAACGGAGGCGCGCAAAGGUUUCCUCAGCGCGGACAGAAAUCGCGCGAAAGAGUGCAAAGGCAGAAGGAAGCUUAACUGAGAGACUGACAAGUCGACCAGAUACGAAAGUAGGUCUUAGUGAUCCGGCGGUAGUGAGUGGAAAUGCCGUCGCUCAACGGACAAAAGUUACCCUGGGGAUAACAGGCUUAUCUCCCCCAAGAGUUCACAUCGACGGGGAGGUUUGGCACCUCGAUGUCGGCUCAUCACAUCCUGGAGCGGAAGUACGUUCCAAGGGUUGGGCUGUUCGCCCAUUAAAGUGGUACGCGAGCUGGGUUCAGAACGUCGUGAGACAGUUCGGUCCUUAUCUGUCGCAGGCGAAGGAUAUUUGAGGGGAGUUGACCUUAGUACGAGAGGACCAGGUUGAACUUACCAAUGGUGUAUCAGUUGUCGUACCAACGGCACGGCUGAGUAGCUAAGUAGGGAAGGGAUAAACGCUGAAAGCAUCUAAGUGUGAAGCCCACCCCAAGAUAAGAUAUCCCAUACCGUAAGGUAGUAAGAUUCCACGUAGACUAUGUGGUAGAUAGGUUGGAGGUGUAAGUGCAGUAAUGCAUUAAGCUGACCAAUACUAAUAAAUCGAGGGCUUAACCAC